UCUUCCCUCUGGCGGCGUGCUUAACACAUGCCAGUCGAACGGAAAGGCCCAAGCUUGCUUGGGUACUCGAGUGGCGAACGGGUGAGUAACACGUGGGUGAUCUGCCCUGCACUUCGGGAUAAGCCUGGGAAACUGGGUCUAAUACCGGAUAGGACCACUUCUUGGAUGUUGUGGUGGAAAGUUUUUUCGGUGUGGGAUGAGCUCGCGGCCUAUCAGCUUGUUGGUGGGGUAAUGGCCUACCAAGGCGUCGACGGGUAGCCGGCCUGAGAGGGUGUACGGCCACAUUGGGACUGAGAGACGGCCCAGACUCCUACGGGAGGCAGCAGUGGGGAAUAUUGCACAAUGGGCGCAAGCCUGAUGCAGCGACGCCGCGUGGGGGAUGACGGCCUUCGGGUUGUAAACUCCUUUCGCUAGGGACGAAGCGUUUUGUGACGGUACCUGGAGAAGAAGCACCGGCUAACUACGUG
This 467-nucleotide ribosomal RNA is filed under the name uncultured bacterium. RNAcentral's name for it is "partial 16S ribosomal RNA". It matches the Rfam family "Bacterial small subunit ribosomal RNA", at positions 36 to 507 of the family's 1533-position model. The record is from RNAcentral.